GCCAGGUCCCCUUUUUGAGUAGAGCACCCUAAGUGGUGAACGAAAUUUUUGGUUUUGGGCCACGUCUCUAUUUUAUUUCAGGUGGAGAACCCUUAUGAAUGACCCGAAUCUCUCUCUACAUUCACUAAAAUAGGUUGAUCAGGGCAACUCAAAUGAUCAAGGGGAUAGUGUGGAUUCUGGAGAAAGUAAAGAGCAAAAAGAUUAGGACUGGAGAGUUGUAGGAUGAAGGGAGAU
This is a long non-coding RNA of Myotis davidii, 234 nucleotides long. RefSeq lists it as uncharacterized. NCBI's taxonomy places the organism in Eukaryota, Metazoa, Chordata, Mammalia, Chiroptera, Vespertilionidae. The record is from RefSeq and is a predicted model, not a curated record. The transcript has 3 exons.